UCACUCGCAAAUCCACGAGAUUCACAUAUUACAAAGAGUCAUCGGGUUCGUAACGGUACUUUUUGUAAUAUGUGAAUUUUUACAUCUGUGAAGAAUUGCAUAUUGUUACAUUUAUUUUUUGGAGGUUUUCUUAAUGAAACAAGGUACAGUAAAAUGGUUUAACUCAGAAAAAGGUUUUGGAUUUAUCGAAGUUGACGGCGAAAACGACGUUUUCGUACACUUCUCAGCUAUCCAAGGCGACGGUUUCAAAACACUUGACGAAGGUCAAAAAGUGGAAUUCGAAGUUGUAGAAGGCAACCGCGGACCACAAGCUGCUAACGUAACAAAACUUUAAUCCUCGGAUUAAGGCAAACACUUAGUUGAAACUAACUAAAGAACGACGCUCUCGUAGCGUCGUUCUUUUU
This 404-nucleotide small RNA is filed under the name Lysinibacillus sp. BF-4. RNAcentral's name for it is "cspA thermoregulator". It matches the Rfam family "cspA thermoregulator", at positions 69 to 428 of the family's 428-position model. Lineage: Bacteria; Bacillati; Bacillota; Bacilli; Caryophanales; Bacillaceae. The record is from Rfam by way of RNAcentral.